UUGCGGGGGGGCUCACAUCAUGU
This 23-nucleotide microRNA is filed under the name Branchiostoma lanceolatum (amphioxus). RNAcentral describes it as "Bla-Mir-4872-P8_5p (mature (guide))". Lineage: Eukaryota; Metazoa; Chordata; Leptocardii; Amphioxiformes; Branchiostomatidae. The record is from RNAcentral.